GGCUUAGCUCAGUUGGUAGAGCAACUGAUUUGUAAUCAGUGGGUCGGGAGUUCGAGUCUUCUAGCC
Molecule: transfer RNA, 66 nt
Filed under: marine eukaryotic metagenome
Rfam family: tRNA
About the family: Transfer RNA (tRNA) molecules are approximately 80 nucleotides in length. Their secondary structure includes four short double-helical elements and three loops (D, anti-codon, and T loops). Further hydrogen bonds mediate the characteristic L-shaped molecular structure. tRNAs have two regions of fundamental functional importance: the anti-codon, which is responsible for specific mRNA codon recognition, and the 3' end, to which the tRNAs corresponding amino acid is attached (by aminoacyl-tRNA synthetases). tRNAs cope with the degeneracy of the genetic code in two manners: having more than one tRNA (with a specific anti-codon) for a particular amino acid; and 'wobble' base-pairing, i.e. permitting non-standard base-pairing at the 3rd anti-codon position.
Source: RNAcentral